This 497-nucleotide ribosomal RNA is filed under the name uncultured bacterium. RNAcentral's name for it is "partial 16S ribosomal RNA". It matches the Rfam family "Bacterial small subunit ribosomal RNA", at positions 28 to 507 of the family's 1533-position model. The record is from RNAcentral.
GAUGAACGCUGGCGGCGUGCCUAAUACAUGCAAGUCGAGCGAACAGACGAGGAGCUUGCUCCUUUGACGUUAGCGGCGGUCGGGUGAGUAACACGUGGAUAACCUACCUAUAAGACUGGGAUAACUUCGGGAAACCGGAGCUAAUACCGGAUAACAUGUUGAACCGCAUGGUUCAACAGUGAAAGACGGUCUUGCUGUCACUUAUAGAUGGAUCCGCGCCGCAUUAGCUAGUUGGUAAGGUAACGGCUUACCAAGGCAACGAUGCGUAGCCGACCUGAGAGGGUGAUCGGCCACACUGGAACUGAGACACGGUCCAGACUCCUACGGGAGGCAGCAGUAGGGAAUCUUCCGCAAUGGGCGAAAGCCUGACGGGGCAACGCCGCGUGAGUGAAGAAGGUCUUCGGAUCGUAAAACUCUGUUAUUAGGGAAGAACAAAUGUGUAAGUAACUAUGCACGUCUUGACGGUACCUAAUCAGAAAGCCACGGCUAACUACGUG